RNAcentral lists this ribosomal RNA (560 nucleotides) under uncultured archaeon. RNAcentral describes it as "bacterial SSU rRNA". It matches the Rfam family "Archaeal small subunit ribosomal RNA", at positions 332 to 892 of the family's 1478-position model. The record is from RNAcentral.
GCACCAGGCGCGAAAACUUUACAAUGCCGGCAACGGCGAUAAGGGAACCUCGAGUGCCAGGUUACAAAUCUGGCUGUCGUGAUGCCUAAAAAGCAUUGCAUAGCAAGGGCCGGGCAAGACCGGUGCCAGCCGCCGCGGUAACACCGGCGGCUCGAGUGGUAACCGUUAUUAUUGGGUCUAAAGGGUCUGUAGCCGGCCGGAUAAGUCUCUUGGGAAAUCUGGCAGCUUAACUGUCAGGCUUUCAGGAGAUACUGUCUGGCUCGAGGCCGGGAGAGGUGAGAGGUACUUCAGGGGUAGGGGUGAAAUCUUGUAAUCCUUGAAGGACCACCAGUGGCGAAGGCGUCUCACCAGAACGGACCUGACGGCAAGGGACGAAAGCUAGGGGCACGAACCGGAUUAGAUACCCGGGUAGUCCUAGCCGUAAACGAUACUCGCUAGGUGUCGGCCACGGUGCGACCGUGGUCGGUGCCGUAGGGAAGCCGUGAAGCGAGCCACCUGGGAAGUACGGCCGCAAGGCUGAAACUUAAAGGAAUUGGCGGGGGAGCACAAGGGCGAUUGCG